RNAcentral lists this ribosomal RNA (468 nucleotides) under uncultured bacterium. RNAcentral's name for it is "partial 16S ribosomal RNA". It matches the Rfam family "Bacterial small subunit ribosomal RNA", at positions 28 to 507 of the family's 1533-position model. The record is from RNAcentral.
GACGAACGCUGGCGGCGUGCUUAACACAUGCAAGUCGAACGGAAAGGCCCUGCUUUUGUGGGGUGCUCGAGUGGCGAACGGGUGAGUAACACGUGAGUAACCUGCCCUUGACUUUGGGGUAACUUCAGGAAACUGGGGCUAAUACCGGAUAGGAGCUCCUGCUGCAUGGUGGGGGUUGGAAAGUUUCGGCGGUUGGGGAUGCACUCGCGGCUUAUCAGCUUGUUGGUGGGGUAGUGACUUACCAAGGCUUUGACGGGUAGCCGGCCUGAGAGGGUGACCGGCCACAUUGGGACUGAGAUACGGCCCAGACUCCUACGGGAGGCAGCAGUGGGGAAUAUUGCACAAUGGGCGGAAGCCUGAUGCAGCAACGCCGCGUGCGGGAUGACGGCCUUCGGGUUGUAAACCGCUUUCGCCUGUGACGAAGCGUGAGUGACGGUAAUGGGUAAAGAAGCACCGGCUAACUACGUG